Molecule: ribosomal RNA, 329 nt
Filed under: uncultured Oscillospiraceae bacterium
Lineage: Bacteria; Bacillati; Bacillota; Clostridia; Eubacteriales; Oscillospiraceae
Description: bacterial SSU rRNA
Rfam family: Bacterial small subunit ribosomal RNA
Source: RNAcentral
GAUGAACGCUGGCGGCGUGCCUAACACAUGCAAGUCGAACGAAGCACUUCUCUUGGAGAUUCGUCGAAGAGGGAUUUGACUUAGUGGCGGACGGGUGAGUAAUGUAUGAGCAACCUGCCUUUCAGAGGGGGACAACAGUUGGAAACGACUGCUAAUACCGCAUAAUGUAUUUUGGGGGCAUCCCCGGGAUACCAAAGGAGCAAUCCGCUGAAAGAUGGGCUCAUAUCUGAUUAGUUAGUUGGUGGGGUAACGGCCCACCAAGACUGCGAUCAGUAGCCGGACUGAGAGGUUGAACGGCCACAUUGGGACUGAGAUACGGCCCAGACUCC